GAUGAACGCUGGCGGCGUGCCUAAUACAUGCAAGUCGAGCGAACAGACGAGGAGCUUGCUCCUCUGACGUUAGCGGCGGACGGGUGAGUAACACGUGGAUAACCUACCUAUAAGACUGGGAUAACUUCGGGAAACCGGAGCUAAUACCGGAUAAUAUAUUGAACCGCAUGGUUCAAUAGUGAAAGACGGUUUUGCUGUCACUUAUAGAUGGAUCCGCGCCGCAUUAGCUAGUUGGUAAGGUAACGGCUUACCAAGGCAACGAUGCGUAGCCGACCUGAGAGGGUGAUCGGCCGCACUGGAACUGAGACACGGUCCAGACCCCUACGGGAGGCAGCAGUAGGGAAUCUUCCGCAAUGGGCGAAAGCCUGACGGAGCAACGCCGCGUGAGUGAUGAAGGUCUUCGGAUCGUAAAACUCUGUUAUUAGGGAAGAACAAAUGUGUAAGUAACUAUGCACGUCUUGACGGUACCUAAUCAGAAAGCCACGGCUAACUACGUG
Molecule: ribosomal RNA, 497 nt
Filed under: uncultured bacterium
Lineage: Bacteria
Description: partial 16S ribosomal RNA
Rfam family: Bacterial small subunit ribosomal RNA
Source: RNAcentral